AGAGUUUGAUCAUGGCUCAGAACGUACGCUGGCGGCACGCCUUAUACAUGCAAGUCGAACGAAGUAGCAAUACUUAGUGGCAGACGGGUGAGUAACAUGUGGGUAUCUUCCCUUUGGUGAGGAAUAACACGAGGAAACUUGUGCUAAUACCUCAUAAGUCUUUACGGAGAAAGCUUUAUGCGCCAAUGGAUGAGCCCGCACUUGAUUAGUUUGUUGGUGGGGUAAUGGCCUACCAAGACUGUGAUCAAUAGCUGAUUUGAGAGGAUGAUCAGCCACAUUGGGACUGAGACACGGCCCAAACUCCUACGGGAGGCAGCAGUAAGGAAUCUUGCACAAUGGAGGAAACUCUGAUGCAGCGAUGCCGCGUGAGUGAAGAAGGCCUUUGGGUUGUAAAGCUCUUUCGUCGGGGAAGAAAAUGACUGUACCCGAAUAAGAAGGUCCGGCUAACUUCGUGCCAGCAGCCGCGGUAAUACGAAGGGACCUAGCGUAGUUCGGAAUUACUGGGCUUAAAGAGUUCGUAGGUGGUUAAAAAAGUUGGUAGUGAAAUCCCAGAGCUUAACUCUGGAACUGCUAUCAAAACUUUUUAGCUAGAGUAUGAUAGAGGAAAGCAGAAUUUCUAGUGUAGAGGUGAAAUUCGUAGAUAUUAGAAAGAAUACCAAUUGCGAAGGCAGCUUUCUGGAUCAUUACUGACGCUGAGGAACGAAAGCAUGGGUAGCGAAGAGGAUUAGAUACCCUCGUAGUCCAUGCUGUAAACGAUGUGUGUUAGACGUUGGAAAUUUAUUUUCAGUGUCGCAGCGAAAGCGAUAAACACACCGCCUGGGGAGUACGACCGCAAGGUUAAAACUCAAAUGAAUUGACGGGGACCCGCACAAGUAGUGGAGCAUGUGGUUUAAUUCGAAGAUACGCGCAGAACCUUACCAACACUUGACAUGUUCGUCGCGACUUUAAGAGAUUAAAGUUUUCGGUUCGGCCGGACGAAACACAGGUGCUGCAUGGCUGUCGUCAGCUCGUGUCGUGAGAUGUUGGGUUAAGUCCCGCAACGAGCGCAACCCUCACUUUUAGUUGCCAUCAUUAAGUUGGGCACUCUGAAAGAACUGCCAGUGAUAAGCUGGAGGAAGGUGGGGAUGACGUCAAGUCCUCAUGGCCCUUACGUGUUGGGCUACACACGUGCUACAAUGGCAUUUACAAUAGGAAGCAAGAUGGACAUCAA
This 1210-nucleotide ribosomal RNA is filed under the name marine metagenome. RNAcentral's name for it is "bacterial SSU rRNA". It matches the Rfam family "Bacterial small subunit ribosomal RNA", at positions 8 to 1266 of the family's 1533-position model. The record is from RNAcentral.